This 73-nucleotide transfer RNA is filed under the name Procambarus clarkii (red swamp crayfish). RNAcentral's name for it is "transfer RNA arginine (anticodon UCU)". It matches the Rfam family "tRNA". From Rfam's summary of the family: Transfer RNA (tRNA) molecules are approximately 80 nucleotides in length. Their secondary structure includes four short double-helical elements and three loops (D, anti-codon, and T loops). Further hydrogen bonds mediate the characteristic L-shaped molecular structure. tRNAs have two regions of fundamental functional importance: the anti-codon, which is responsible for specific mRNA codon recognition, and the 3' end, to which the tRNAs corresponding amino acid is attached (by aminoacyl-tRNA synthetases). tRNAs cope with the degeneracy of the genetic code in two manners: having more than one tRNA (with a specific anti-codon) for a particular amino acid; and 'wobble' base-pairing, i.e. permitting non-standard base-pairing at the 3rd anti-codon position. Lineage: Eukaryota; Metazoa; Arthropoda; Malacostraca; Decapoda; Cambaridae. The record is from RNAcentral.
GUCCUCAUUGCGCAAUGGACAGCGCGCUGGACUUCUAAUCAAGAGGUCGUGGGUUCGAAUCCCACUCGGGAUA